RNAcentral lists this long non-coding RNA (1010 nucleotides) under Solanum tuberosum (potato). RNAcentral's name for it is "long non-coding RNA (STUB_LNC007854)". Lineage: Eukaryota; Viridiplantae; Streptophyta; Magnoliopsida; Solanales; Solanaceae. The record is from RNAcentral.
CACCUGCGAUCGUUCUAUUAUCAUAUUUCUUCCAAUAGAUGUUGCAUCAAACAUUAACUAUAUUUAUCUUUACGGGGAAGGACCUCUUCCAUGGAUCAAUGGUCCCUUUCUGGAUCGUUUUAAGUACCAAACUAGCAUAAUGUUUUCUGCUUUUUGACAAGUUAAACAAGAUUUUAGUAAUACAACUGCACCUGCCCAGCAUAGCUGUGGAAUAGAAGAAAAUGAGUAUAUUAAUAUUGGAAAUCAAGGAAGUUCAGACAAGCACUAAAAUGACUAAGGAAAUUCAAUAUUAACUAAUGCAUUUCAUUUCACGUGUUACUUGACAAUAAUCUUCUCACUUUUUCUCUAUUUUAGCACUUACGGGAACAAUGAACAGGGGAAGAAAUCCACACAAGUUGGAAGUUAUUGUUGAAUAGCUCAUCAAACAUUCUUUUUGGUUACACAUUCAAGGCUUAUCUCUUACACUUUUGUCAAAGAUUAACCCUUUUCUAUCUUAAUCCUUACUUGAGGAUUGAACUGGUUCAAUUCUUACCUUUAUUUGAAGAGGUAACCAGUCAAGUCCCCCUCUUUGCAACUUUUUAUCAUAUUCUAACAAUUAUACCAAAAUGAUUGUUUACAUUUUAAAAAAAUGAUAAUUUUCCUGCAGUACUUAAGAUCAGAAAUUUGUUGAUAUAAAGGAAACUUACUCUUGGUUUCCGGUCAAUCACCAACGUCUCAAGAUCUAUAGAAAGCUGUCAAAUCCAGGGAAGUCCAACAGUACUAUGGCUGUAUUAAGUAGUAAAACUUUCCGGCAAGAUGGUGGAGACCACCACCCUUUCAACACUAGUAUAGACAGGCACUUAUAAACCAAAUAUGUCAAAACAAAGAAAUGCAGCAUACUUAACAAAUGCCAUGAAAAUUGUGGAUACUUUGUAAAUGCAACUUGGACUAUAAGACCGUCUUUUGUCACAUAAGUGUUCUAGGUUGGUUUGAAAAUUCAAAGAUGACGUUUUCUUUUAAUGAGGAAAAAG